Pelobates cultripes (western spadefoot toad) is the source of this 264-nucleotide non-coding RNA. The record is from the annotation of a GenBank genome assembly. NCBI's taxonomy places the organism in Eukaryota, Metazoa, Chordata, Amphibia, Anura, Pelobatidae.
GUUUGCCAGGAACAAUGCUACCCAUGACUCUUCCAGACAUAGUACAUUCUUUGUCAAUAACAGUCGUCAUCCUACUGUCCUACCAGCUGUUUUUUCUGACACAACUAUCCCUGCUUUGGAUGAUCACCUUGCUUCUAUUUGUGAGACUUGGACCAAAGUUCACUCCACUCUUGAGACUGCAGCUGCUCGUUUCAAGUUUCAUGCUGAUGAAUGGCGGGGUACCAAACCUGUUUACCAGGUGAGUGAGAAGGUGUCGUUAUCAUC